CCCUUAGAUGUUCUGGGCCGCACGCGCGCUACACUGAUGCAGCCAACGAGCUUCUCCCACCUACCGGAUGGAAGAAAUCUUGUGAAACUGUAUCGUGACGGGAACAAACGCUUGAAAUUUUUCGUUUCGAACGAGGAAUUCCUAGUAAGCACGAGUCAUCAGCUCGUGCUGAUUACGUCCCCGCCCUUUGUACACACCGCCCGUCGCUCCUACCGAUUGGGUGAUCCGGUGAACUAUUUGGACUAUGACGUCGGCUCACGCUGACUGUCGUGGGAAGUUUUGUGAACCUUAUCACUUAGAGGAAGGAGAAGUCGUAACA
Molecule: ribosomal RNA, 319 nt
Filed under: uncultured eukaryote
Lineage: Eukaryota
Description: partial 18S ribosomal RNA
Rfam family: Eukaryotic small subunit ribosomal RNA
Source: RNAcentral